GCUUUACGAUCAUCAUCAUUAUCCGACGGCGUUAUCGCAGCGCACUAUCACGCAUUUUCAAGGUGCGUGAAUACCAAUAUGCACGUUUUUGGAAGUGGAUUCUUCUCCCCGCCGUUAAUCUUCUCGAGCACUGGCGGUGACAACGAUGACGACGACGACGACGGUGGCGAACACAAGCGUGUACGUUGCGAGUGAGAGCGCCUUCUUCUAGCCGAGAGUAGAGACACUACAAUCAGAGACUGGCCACAACUGAUUCGCCAUGUUUUGUCUAAAUUCUACGAGAGAGAAAGAAAUAUACAUCAUAACUUACAAUAAUGUGUUUUGGACGAUAUUUUUUAUUUUGCAUGUGCAUUAAUUUAAAUGCAUUAAAUUAAACGUGGGAAGCGCGAUAAUAUAUCAUCAAAUCUAGAUAAUAAAAUUAUGAAAUAUAUUAAUAAAUUAAUUAAUUGUGAUUAAUCAAUAUAAUAAAAUGGGUGGAUGUUCAGCAUCAUUUUACAAUAAUUCAUCGAGGAAAGGUUAUAUCAUGAAAGUUUUUUCCAAGAGAUCCCAAACGUCAAACUUUAUGGUUGCAAAAUGUAAAGAAAUAAAUGCGAAUGAUAUAUUAA
Long non-coding RNA from Pogonomyrmex barbatus (red harvester ant), 605 nucleotides. RefSeq lists it as uncharacterized. The record is from RefSeq and is a predicted model, not a curated record. Lineage: Eukaryota; Metazoa; Arthropoda; Insecta; Hymenoptera; Formicidae.